This 501-nucleotide ribosomal RNA is filed under the name uncultured bacterium. RNAcentral describes it as "partial 16S ribosomal RNA". It matches the Rfam family "Bacterial small subunit ribosomal RNA", at positions 30 to 523 of the family's 1533-position model. The record is from RNAcentral.
AUUGAACGCUGGCGGCAGGCUUAACACAUGCAAGUCGAGCGGGGAAGGUUGCUUCGGUAACUGACCUAGCGGCGGACGGGUGAGUAAUGCUUAGGAAUCUGCCUAUUAGUGGGGGACAACAUUCCGAAAGGGAUGCUAAUACCGUAUACGUCCUACGGGAGAAAGCAGGGGAUCAUUUGACCUUGCGCUAAUAGAUGAGCCUAAGUCGGAUUAGCUAGUUGGUAGGGUAAAGGCCUACCAAGGCGACGAUCUGUAGCGGGUCUGAGAGGAUGAUCCGCCACACUGGGACUGAGACACGGCCCAGACUCCUACGGGAGGCAGCAGUGGGGAAUAUUGGACAAUGGGGGGAACCCUGAUCCAGCCAUGCCGCGUGUGUGAAGAAGGCCUUUUGGUUGUAAAGCACUUUAAGCGAGGAGGAGGCUCUCUUGGUUAAUACCUGAGAAGAGUGGACGUUACUCGCAGAAUAAGCACCGGCUAACUCUGUGCCAGCCGCCGCCGUAA